AGUUUUAUAAUUUAUAAAAAAUAUUAAAUUGCAAAUUUAAAAAAAAAUAUUUUAAAACUU
RNAcentral lists this transfer RNA (60 nucleotides) under Ismarus sp. ZJUH_2016020. RNAcentral describes it as "tRNA-Cys". The record is from RNAcentral. Lineage: Eukaryota; Metazoa; Arthropoda; Insecta; Hymenoptera; Diapriidae.